UUUUCUCUCUCUUGCAAAAGCAGUGGUCGAGUGCCCUGCUUCAAUCAACGAGUAUAACAUCUGAAUUUAUCAAGAUCAUCCUGAACAAAAUUUCAACAUAAGAAAUGUCAGGAAACUGGAGCAAUAGUCGCGGCGGAAGCGGCGGUUCCAAAUUUGGAAGUCAUGGAUCAAAGUUUGGUGGUGGCGGCGGCGGCGGUGGUAGCCGCUUUGGAAACUCUGGUGGUUAUGGAGGAGGGAAGAAAGAAUUUUCUGGUGGACAAAACAUGCGACGCCCAAACUGGGAUACUAUGUCUUUACAACCAUUUAAUAAAAACUUCUACAACCCACCACCAGAAGUAUUGAAUAGAUCAGCAUAUGAAGUUGAAGAAUAUAGAAACAAACAUGAGAUUACUGUGAGUGGAUUGGAUAUACCUAAUCCUAUCCAGCACUUUGUAGAAGGAAACUUCCCAGACUAUGUAAUGCAAAAUAUUUCCAACAUGGGAUACAAGGAACCCACACCCAUUCAAGCUCAAGGUUGGCCCAUUGCCAUGUCAGGGCACAACUUGGUUGGGAUAGCUCAGACUGGUUCUGGCAAAACCUUAGCUUAUAUAUUGCCUGCUAUUGUGCACAUCAACAACCAGCCCCCUAUUAGGCGGGGAGAUGGCCCAAUAGCUUUGGUGUUGGCUCCAACAAGAGAACUGGCGCAACAAAUUCAACAAGUUGCAUGUGACUUUGGAAAUGCUUCAUAUGUGCGCAACACGUGCGUAUUUGGUGGCGCGCCUAAAAGGGAACAGGCUCGUGAUUUAGAAAGAGGAGUAGAAAUUGUAAUUGCCACACCUGGCAGACUAAUUGAUUUCUUGGAAAAAGGAACUACAAAUUUACAACGUUGUACAUAUCUUGUACUAGAUGAAGCUGAUCGUAUGUUGGACAUGGGUUUUGAACCCCAGAUUCGUAAAAUCAUUGAGCAGAUCCGACCUGACCGUCAAACUCUGAUGUGGUCUGCCACAUGGCCCAAAGAGGUUAAAAAGUUAGCCGAAGACUAUUUAGGUGACUACUUGCAAAUAAACAUUGGAUCUCUUCAAUUAUCUGCUAACCACAAUAUUCUACAAAUUGUAGAUGUUUGCCAAGAACAUGAGAAGGAGAACAAGUUAAAUGUUCUGCUUCAAGAAAUAGGCCAGAGCCAAGAACCUGGUGCGAAAACAAUUAUAUUUGUUGAAACAAAGAGAAAAGUAGAAAAUAUAACAAGAAAUAUCAGACGAUUUGGCUGGCCAGCGGUCUGCAUGCAUGGAGACAAAACACAGCAAGAGAGGGACGAUGUGCUCUAUCAGUUCAAACAGGGUCGCGCCAGCAUACUGGUAGCUACUGAUGUUGCCGCCAGAGGACUUGAGGCACUGGCGGAAAGUUAUUGUGUUCUAUCUGAGUACUCUCCCAAAUUAGUGGAUAUGUCACUGCUGAUUUGUAGAUGACUUAGUGUGCAGUGGUUUAACUAGAGAAUGCAAUAACUCGUCAUGUUAUGGUGCCUCAAAAGUGCCUUUCACUAUGAUGGACCCACGGCCGGAAGCUUGAUAGUAUGUCCGUGAAUACGGAUACACUUGAGAGUAUUGGAAAACCUGGUGAUGCACUACAUACUUUAUAGAUAGUUAAAUAAUCAAAGAUUGAACUACUGGUGCAUCGUUGAAAAACUUGACCACAGGUUGAGAUGAUCGGCAAGAGGUCAAGGGUUUUCUAUUUCGGCCACAAUGGAGAUUGGAAUGGGCAAUCAAGUAUAUGUGAAAACAAAUUGAUUAUAACGCCCUUACAAGACUCCAGGGUUUACUCAGUGAGAGGCAAAUGUUUUUAUUUGUUGUGUAACUCAUUCAUAUGUGGAUGGUAUCAAAUAUGUUAUAAACUUUGAUUAUCCCAACUCUUCGGAAGAUUACAUUCACCGGAUAGGCAGAACAGGACGGUCAAAAUCAAAAGGAACAUCAUAUGCCUUCUUCACACCUUCAAAUUCGCGUCAAGCUAAAGACCUUGUCAAUGUGCUGCAAGAAGCAAAUCAGACUAUCAGCCCACAACUGCAGACAAUGGCUGACCGCUGCGGCGGCGGCGGCGGCGGCGGCUGGAACAGAAGCCGGUACGGCGGAGGGCGCGGGGGCGGUGGCGGCGGCUCCUUCAGACGUGGAACUAAUUUCGGCAGGAGCAACGGCACAGGAGGCGGUGGACACAAGCGAUUUAAUGAAUACUAACUUAUCUCUAAUAUUAAGUAGCAAAUCCUCUUAGGACUAUGAAUGAAUACACCGUGUAAAUGUUCAAGAUUGUAGAUCAUGACCCCCUCCCGUAGUUGAACCAUUAUUGUAUUCCAUAGAUGUCUACAUUUGAUUACUUUCGCAUUUACAUUGUACCGACUAGGAUUAACAAUACAUUGAGUAAAUGAACAUGUGUGUUUGACAUUAAGUUAUUUUUAGGCGGUAUUAUUUUUUCUGUGAUAUCUUAAAAUGAGGAUAAACUUGUGUCGCUGUCUCUUCAUGCCCCAACCUUCAAUUUGUAACUAUUGAAGUGCGCCGGUCCCCAUUGUUUGGGAGAAGUACCAAAUAUAAUAACAUCAUUCCACUUUGUUCUUUGAUCUGGUGAAAAUUAAUAUAAUAAUAAAUAAUGAUACUAUAC
Molecule: RNA transcript, 2622 nt
Organism: Papilio polytes (common Mormon)
Lineage: Eukaryota; Metazoa; Arthropoda; Insecta; Lepidoptera; Papilionidae
Gene: Rm62
Gene name: ATP-dependent RNA helicase p62
Exons: 7
Source: RefSeq, marked provisional